CAUAAAAAGUCAGGUUAAUCAGAUGUGCACAUGUGCCUCCCAUAUUUUCUGCUUCAGUUUUGCUCCUGUGCUGCUCCUUGACAGGCACUGCAAAAUGUGAGGAGGCACCAAAAAAUAUUUGGAUUCUACAGGAUGAAGAUUAUAUUUGUAAAUCCAGAGGAUUUGCAUCUCCCUUUUGAGUAACCAUUAUCAGAGAAGGGACAUAUGUAAGCAGACUACAACUUUUCCAAGCAAAGGGCUGUGUAGGAAAUCAGAAUUCUCCCUCUUCCUGAGAAGCUUUGCUCCCUGCUGUCCCGAGCCCAACAGCCCUGCCUCUUCUUUGUGGGCUUUCUGCUGUUCUGAUGUUCCUCCUGCCUGCUGUAGUAGUGAAAUUGUGCUGAAACAACUGCCUAUUGCCCUUUGUGCACUGCAGAAAGAAUGAGCUCUGUGGAAGUAUGAGGGAAGCUGAGGGAGAAGGAAAGCAGGUGAUACGGCCCAUCGUGGGCCUGCAUGGGCUGUGAGCAGCACCAAAAAAGGGAAAAGCAGCAAAUUGGUGCUACUGAUGCAGCUGUGGGUAGUUAAACAGCAAAGCCCCUAGGGCCUUAAUGUGAGUGCUCCCAGCUGUAGGAGGAGAGGAGCUGGGGAUGAUAUGUGUUGGGCAUUUCUGCAGUCCUGUGGUCCCAAGCAGCAGAAGAUCACUGCUCUGGGCACAUUGCGGACAACCUGGAGCUGAGCAAAGGCUCCCACCACUUUGGGAGCCCUCUGCUCACUGUUGCACGCACAAACGUAGCGAGGCAAAGUCACCAUCCGCACAUCGGCCUUCCCCCACUGAGUGUACUGUAGCAAAGGUAAUGAAUGGGUCUUUGGGUCUGUAUUUUUUUCUUUUCUUUUCUUUUCCCCCCUUCCAUCUAGGCUUCAUAAAGCAGGAUGGGGGGGCAGUUUUUCUCAUAGAAAUUAGCUCUUCCUUUGACCUCGUGCUACCCAUGCACGGGGUGGAUCGAUAACCGGCAAGGGGACCGUCCCUGCAGCCACCAGGCUCUCCACUGUGCUCCCACUGAUGCGAAGUGACUGUAUUUUUAUGAUUACAUUUUGAAAU
This 1075-nucleotide long non-coding RNA is filed under the name Phasianus colchicus (ring-necked pheasant). RNAcentral's name for it is "lncRNA (ENSPCLG00000006243.1)". Lineage: Eukaryota; Metazoa; Chordata; Aves; Galliformes; Phasianidae. The record is from RNAcentral.